UUUCUUUUAAAAAUAUAGGUCAUUGAACCAAGCAAAAGUUGAUGAAUAUUUAUUUAAAAAAAAAAAUCAUGUAUUGGAUUUGCUCUAUGCUGAAGAUGACAUCUAAGAAGUGCACACUUGUUUCACUUAACUGCUCUAAUCUAAGCAAUAGCACUAUGCUCUCAAUCAUGAAGUCUUUUCAUUACAUCUGCUCUACAAAAAGACUAAAAGAACUUCAAUUGAUAGAUUGCAUAACCACAAAAUAAAUGAUAUAAUUUCUGACCAAAUGAAAUCUACUUUAACCCAAUGCUUCUAUGAAUACUCUAUAAAAAAAAAAUAGACUGGAAAGAGGCUAGGAUAUUAAAACUGGGUCCAACCAAAGAGAAGGCAUCUGAAAAGAAUCACUUACAAUCUGAAACUAAUAUAUACCACAAUGCUAUAAACAAUCAAAAUGAGAAAAUAUAUUUUCUACCUAGAAAUUUUCCUUAGAAAAGUCUAUAAUAUAGUCUUAUAAAUGUAACAAAAUAUACCAUAUAUACUUGUGUAUAAGCCAAAGUUUUUUUACUAAAAAAAAUUUCUGAAUUAGGGAAUUGGCUUAUUCGUGGAUCAAAAAACUCAACUUUUUUUUGGCUGAAGAAAUUGAAGUAAUAAGCAAAAUGAUAACUUAUUGAAUGUUUCCUGAAGACCAGGAAG
This 672-nucleotide long non-coding RNA is filed under the name Androctonus crassicauda. The record is from RNAcentral. Lineage: Eukaryota; Metazoa; Arthropoda; Arachnida; Scorpiones; Buthidae.